RNAcentral lists this ribosomal RNA (348 nucleotides) under uncultured bacterium. RNAcentral describes it as "partial 16S ribosomal RNA". It matches the Rfam family "Bacterial small subunit ribosomal RNA", at positions 338 to 683 of the family's 1533-position model. The record is from RNAcentral.
CCUACGGGAGGCAGCAGUGAGGAAUAUUGGUCAAUGGGCGCGAGCCUGAACCAGCCAAGUCGCGUGAGGGAAGACGGCCCUACGGGUUGUAAACCUCUUUUGCCGGGGAGCAAAGGGCGCCACGUGUGGCGCCAAGGAGAGGACCCGGAGAAAAAGCAACGGCUAACUCAGGGCCAGCAGCCGCGGUAAUACGGAGGAUGCGAGGGUUAUCUGGAUUGAUUGGGUUUAAAGGGUGCGUAGGCGGAGCGUUAAGUCAGUGGUCAAAUUGAGGGGCUCACCCCCUUCCCGCCAUUGAAACUGGCGCUCUUGAGUGGAAGAGAAGUAUGCGGAAUGCGUGGUGUAGCGGUG